RNAcentral lists this long non-coding RNA (404 nucleotides) under Corvus moneduloides (New Caledonian crow). Its description in RNAcentral is "lncRNA (ENSCMUG00000017916.1)". Lineage: Eukaryota; Metazoa; Chordata; Aves; Passeriformes; Corvidae. The record is from RNAcentral.
GUUUUUUCUCUCUUUAUUUUGGUUUCCAUCUCCUCAACACCUGAACCAACAGUCACAUUGCAGGCCAAGCCAGAUGGGCAAGCAAUACAAGCUGUGAAUUUAUCCUUGACCCCAUAGGACAGUGACCACCGUCAUUUUUGUCUUCACCGUACAGUUAUGCACUGCCAGUAAGUGAAAAGGUCAAGAAAAGCAGUAGCUCAGUGGCUGAAUUUUUCUGAAGUGCUUUACAGCAGGGAAAGUGGGGAAACCUCUUAAAGUGGUGUCUUACUCAAUCCUGGAGCACAGGAAAAGAGUUUUAAUGCAAAAUACCAGAAAAAAAAGUCUGCAACAUCUCCUGUGAGAGGGUGAAAAAAAGGAGAUUAACAAUUGCAUCUUUAAACACUCAUAAUUUGAGGUACAGUUUA